UACGAAGGCCCCGAGCGUUAUCCGGAAUCAUUGGGUUUAAAGGGUCCGUAGGCGGGUGCGUAAGUCAGUGGUGAAAGUCUGCAGCUUAACUGUAGAACUGCCAUUGAUACUGCACACCUUGAGUAAUUAUGAAGUGGUUAGAAUAUGUAGUGUGGCGGUGAAAUGCAUAGAUAUUACAUAGAAUACCGAUUGCGAAGGCAGAUCACUAAUAAAAUACUGACGCUGAUGGACGAAAACGUAGGUAGCGAACAGG
This 253-nucleotide unclassified non-coding RNA is filed under the name uncultured Flavobacteriaceae bacterium. RNAcentral's name for it is "contains 16S-23S intergenic spacer region". It matches the Rfam family "Bacterial small subunit ribosomal RNA", at positions 524 to 776 of the family's 1533-position model. The record is from RNAcentral. Lineage: Bacteria; Pseudomonadati; Bacteroidota; Flavobacteriia; Flavobacteriales; Flavobacteriaceae.